Molecule: ribosomal RNA, 823 nt
Filed under: uncultured Methanosaeta sp.
Lineage: Archaea; Methanobacteriati; Methanobacteriota; Methanomicrobia; Methanotrichales; Methanotrichaceae
Description: bacterial SSU rRNA
Rfam family: Archaeal small subunit ribosomal RNA
Source: RNAcentral
CGACUAAGCCAUGCGAGUCGAAUGUAGCAAUACAUGGCGAACUGCUCAGUAACACGUGGACAACCUGCCCUUAGGUUGGGUAUAAACCCGGGAAACUGGGUAUAAUACCCGAUAGGUCUCGAUUGCUGGAAUGCAUCGAGAUUUAAAGCUCCGGCGCCUAAGGAUGGGUCUGCGGCCUAUCAGGUAGUAGUGGGUGUAGCGUACCUACUAGCCUACGACGGGUACGGGUUGUGAGAGCAAGAGCCCGGAGAUGGAUUCUGAGACACGAAUCCAGGCCCUACGGGGUGCAGCAGGCGCGAAAACUUUACAAUGCUGGCAACAGCGAUAAGGGAACCUCGAGUGCCAGGUUACAAAUCUGGCUGUCGAGAUGCCUAAAAAGCAUUUCAUAGCAAGGGCCGGGCAAGACCGGUGCCAGCCGCCGCGGUAACACCGGCGGCUCGAGUGGUAACCGUUAUUAUUGGGUCUAAAGGGUCUGUAGCCGGCCGGAUAAGUCUCUUGAGAAAUCUGGCAGCUUAACUGUCAGGCUUUCAGGAGAUACUGUCUGGCUCGAGGCUGGGAGAGGUGAGAGGUACUUCAGGGGUAGGGGUGAAAUCUUGUAAUCCUUGAAGGACCACCAGUGGCGAAGGCGUCUCACCAGAACGGACCUGACGGCAAGGGACGAAAGCUAGGGGCACGAACCGGAUUAGAUACCCGGGUAGUCCUAGCCGUAAACGAUACUCGCUAGGUGUCGGCCACGGUGCGACCGUUGUCGGUGCCGUAGGGAAGCCGUGAAGCGAGCCACCUGGGAAGUACGGCCGCAAGGCUGAAACUUAAAGGAAUUGGC